AGUCCUAAACUGUUCAUCCUAUCCUGCCUUACCCUUCUCUCAGAAACCCCAACAAAGGCCAUGCCUUACAACUUACCUUGCUCCUGUUUCUGCCUCCUGACCACUCUGGUCUUCCCCAUGUUGCCAUGUAUGGCAUGCCUCCUGUCUCUAGGACCUGUGAGUAGAAAAUACUUUAUUUUCUCGAGUCUCUCCUGUGUCUCCUCUUGUAGCCCCAUCUGGCCGAUUGUCUCAUAAAUGUAUACAAAACAAAAUUUCUGACAAAUCAUAAUAUUUAUAGAUGCAGCAAAAGAGAAAAACAAUGAAAGUCUGUAUUAGUAACCAGAAAAACGGUCAGAAGUCUGAGGUACCUGAGAGAAGACAGCAAAAUGAGAUCUGGAAUUUGAGGAGCACCUGUUAGGAGAAGAGCCAUCUCUACUACUCCCCAAAAGAUUCCCUGUUCUAGUUGGCCUUCUAUAUUGGUGGUUUCUGAAUACAUACCCCAAAGAACCUGAGCAUCAGUGAAUUCUGGUAUCUUCUGGGAGCCCUGGAACUAAUCUCUUGAAGAUACCAACGGAUGACUGUGUUUUAAAAGGCGAGAGAGAGAUGUCACUCAGGACUGCUUCCGAAGGAGUUUCCCUUGAAGCUUGCUUCACUGUCUGACUCCUUUCAUACAAGUGGGUAACAUGCCCUUCAUUCAGAACCAAACCUGUGCCCUGGCUUGGUAUAUUUCCUCCACCUGCUGAGCAUCCUCUCACCCUCUACUUUUACCUGGAAGAAAGAAGACAAUAAUAUCUACCAAUCAAGAUGCUGUACCUGAAGCAGAAGAUAACCUGGCAAAGAAAAGAGUAUAGUGCUGCCUUCAGGGAACUCCUAGUCUAGGGGAAGACAGCCAAUAAUCACAUAACUGCUCUAAUCAAAUAUUUCACCAAAAUAAAGUAUUAGCCACCUCCU
This 930-nucleotide long non-coding RNA is filed under the name Homo sapiens (human). RNAcentral's name for it is "HSALNT0358872". The record is from RNAcentral. Lineage: Eukaryota; Metazoa; Chordata; Mammalia; Primates; Hominidae.